CAGGUUUACCUGUGUGACUGCGUACCUUUUGUAUAAUGGGUCAGCGACUUAUAUUCUGUAGCAAGGUUAACCGAAUAGGGGAGCCGGAGGGAAACCGAGUCUUAAUUGGGCGUUAAGUUGCAGGGUAUAGACCCGAAACCCGGUGAUCUAGCCAUGGGCAGGUUGAAGGUUGGGUAACACUAACUGGAGGACCGAACCGACUAAUGUUGAAAAAUUAGCGGAUGACCUGUGGCUGGGGGUGAAAGGCCAAUCAAACCGGGAGAUAGCUGGUUCUCCCCGAAAGCUAUUUAGGUAGCGCCUCGUGAAUUCAUCUCCGGGGGUAGAGCACUGUUUCGGCUAGGGGGCCAUCCCGGCUUACCAACCCGAUGCAAACUGCGAAUACCGGAGAAUGUUAUCACGGGAGACACACGGCGGGUGCUAACGUCCGUCGUGAAGAGGGAAACAACCCAGACCGCCAGCUAAGGUCCCAAAGUCAUGGUUAAGUGGGAAACGAUGUGGGAAGGCCCAGACAGCCAGGAUGUUGGCUUAGAAGCAGCCAUCAUUUAAAGAAAGCGUAAUAGCUCACUGGUCGAGUCGGCCUGCGCGGAAGAUGUAACGGGGCUAAACCAUGCACCGAAGCUGCGGCAGCGACGCUGAUGCGUUGUUGGGUAGGGGAGCGUUCUGUAAGCCUGCGAAGGUGGCCUGUGAGGGUUGCUGGAGGUAUCAGAAGUGCGAAUGCUGACAUAAGUAACGAUAAAGCGGGUGAAAAGCCCGCUCGCCGGAAGACCAAGGGUUCCUGUCCAACGUUAAUCGGGGCAGGGUGAGUCGACCCCUAAGGCGAGGCCGAAAGGCGUAGUCGAUGGGAAACGGGUUAAUAUUCCCGUACUUGGUGUUACUGCGAAGGGGGGACGGAGAAGGCUAUGUUGGCCGGGCGACGGUUGUCCCGGUUUAAGCGUGUAGGUGUGUGUUCCAGGUAAAUCCGGUUCACUUUAACACUGAGGCGUGAUGACGAGGCACUACGGUGCUGAAGCAACAAAUGCCCUGCUUCCAGGAAAAGCCUCUAAGCAUCAGGUAACAUCAAAUCGUACCCCAAACCGACACAGGUGGUCAGGUAGAGAAUACCAAGGCGCUUGAGAGAACUCGGGUGAAGGAACUAGGCAAAAUGGUGCCGUAACUUCGGGAGAAGGCACGCUGACACGUAGGUGAAGUGAUUUACUCAUGGAGCUGAAGUCAGUCGAAGAUACCAGCUGGCUGCAACUGUUUAUUAAAAACACAGCACUGUGCAAACACGAAAGUGGACGUAUACGGUGUGACGCCUGCCCGGUGCCGGAAGGUUAAUUGAUGGGGUCAGCGCAAGCGAAGCUCCUGAUCGAAGCCCCGGUAAACGGCGGCCGUAACUAUAACGGUCCUAAGGUAGCGAAAUUCCUUGUCGGGUAAGUUCCGACCUGCACGAAUGGCGUAAUGAUGGCCAGGCUGUCUCCACCCGAGACUCAGUGAAAUUGAACUCGCUGUGAAGAUGCAGUGUACCCGCGGCAAGACGGAAAGACCCCGUGAACCUUUACUAUAGCUUGACACUGAACAUUGAGCCUUGAUGUGUAGGAUAGGUGGGAGGCUUUGAAGUGUGGACGCCAGUCUGCAUGGAGCCGACCUUGAAAUACCACCCUUUAAUGUUU
Molecule: ribosomal RNA, 1652 nt
Filed under: Salmonella enterica subsp. enterica serovar Chester
Lineage: Bacteria; Pseudomonadati; Pseudomonadota; Gammaproteobacteria; Enterobacterales; Enterobacteriaceae
Description: partial 23S ribosomal RNA
Rfam family: Bacterial large subunit ribosomal RNA
Source: RNAcentral